This 245-nucleotide ribosomal RNA is filed under the name uncultured Azospirillum sp. RNAcentral describes it as "partial 16S ribosomal RNA". It matches the Rfam family "Bacterial small subunit ribosomal RNA", at positions 524 to 768 of the family's 1533-position model. Lineage: Bacteria; Pseudomonadati; Pseudomonadota; Alphaproteobacteria; Rhodospirillales; Azospirillaceae. The record is from RNAcentral.
UACGGAGGGUGCGAGCGUUGUUCGGAAUUAUUGGGCGUAAAGGGCGCGUAGGCGGCGGUCCAAGUCGAGUGUGAAAGCCCCGGGCUCAACCUGGGAGGUGCGCUCGAGACUGGUUCGCUGGAGUUCGGGAGAGGAGCGUGGAAUUCCCAGUGUAGAGGUGAAAUUCGUAGAUAUUGGGAAGAACACCGGUGGCGAAGGCGGCGCUCUGGACCGAGACUGACGCUGAGGCGCGAAGGCGUGGGGAG